Molecule: long non-coding RNA, 4320 nt
Organism: Anopheles stephensi (Asian malaria mosquito)
Lineage: Eukaryota; Metazoa; Arthropoda; Insecta; Diptera; Culicidae
Exons: 2
Source: RefSeq, a predicted model, not a curated record
CUCCUCAUCUUCGCGAGUGAGCGUUACUUUAGAGGCUGUUUCCGUUUUCGCGGGGUAAAUUCACUUGUGGUGCAGGUGAACUCUUGGAAGGCAUACACAUCCUGUCGCUGCUGCUGCUGCUGCUGCCGCUGGGUGCUGCAAAGGGAAACAAGAAACCGACGAGGGCGAUCGUGAUCCCUGGAGAUCAAGACUAGAGGAAGGUGAACUUCAAUGAAGGCAAGGGAGGAAUCAUUCCAUUGCGUACGUACAACGACUCCAGAAGGAUUUAUGUAGCCACGAAUGAUGGUGAAAGAGAGAGAGAGAGAGAGAGAGAGAGAGAGAGAGUGAAUGGGAAGAUCUGUUGGAAACUCGUGGAAAGUGAAGAAAAACACCAGGCUCGCUUAAACCUCCGAUGCCUCCGACGCUACUAGAAUGCUACUCGGCUUUGGCCUGGUCCACUAGCCGGAUGAGGUGUGCGUGUGUGUGUGUGUGUGUGUGUAUGCCAUUGAGACGUGGUGUUGGCUGUUUUGUUUUUGUUUUUUGGAUACACAGCACACGUUAUUUAUAAAUAUCGUUGCAUGGAAAUCUGUUGGUGGGGGACCAUCGGGACCGGAAAAAGCUAUUCGAGGGUGCACACAUCCAAGAUGAGAUGUUCCAAAAGGAGUGCGAUGAAAUAUGGUACGGCAUGCAUGAUGUGCCGCCGAAGCCAUCCCGAGUCGUCUUCACCCCAAAACGGCGCACCCGGUCGUACGUCACACAGUCUUACAUCUCGGCUCAGCUCAGCAUUUUGCGGCUAGUUAGGUUGUAGUAAAGUAUGAUCAAAAAAAGAGGCUGGACGGUCGCUGAUGAAUGAACUGUAACUCCUUCCUCGAUUUGUGAAGUGCGCCCAACGUGGGGCUCGAACCCACGACCCUGAGAUUAAGAGUCUCAUGCUCUACCGACUGAGCUAGCCGGGCGAUGUGGACGACGGGGGUGAUGAUCGUGAUCGUUUGGUUUCGAUCUUUCUUCUAGGCAGUGAACAAGUGACCGAAGCAAUUACAGAAUGAUAAGAUUCGCUUGCUUACGAACACGGACCCAUCUCUGCUCAAACGCAGAUAAACAAAUGGUCGGUCAACAGUACGAUCUGCCCGAAUAUCAUGACCAUAUGGUCUCUCCUUGCUUUGGCACAUCGACUAGCACUCGCCACUGAAUCGCUGUGGACAGUGGGCGCAUCAUCAUCACCAUCAGCGCCGUGUAUGCGCCCUCGGCUUUGCCGCCCCCAAAAUGUCAACCAGUUUGCCAUACCCGAGGCAGCAACAUGUGCGACGUGUUAAAUAUUUCAUUGAACUCCUACAACACACAUCCUACCACAUCCUGUUACCGAGGGUUCGAGAAACGUCCGGGGCCGGGUUUGAAACUUCAUUCACUUUUCACGCGCGCGUUGCCUGGUAAACAGCCUGGUCCCCCGGUAAACAUUCAUAAUGGGCUGUAGUAGGCAGUCCUAGGUUUGGGGUGGAGCACCGGGUGGACCGACAGUGUGUUCGUCGGUUUAAAGUCCCCACCAUCCUCUCCUCUUUUCGCCCCCUCCCCUUCCCUCUAGACUUGAAAAAGGUGUACGUAAGUCGUUCAAACAAACGUUCACAACCCUCCCCCCAUCACACACACACACACACACAUCCACACAGGCGCGCACACACGGACUCGCGUCUCUCCCAUUCAUCUCUCGUCCAUCUGACCAACGCGCUCCGAUCGCGGGUACCGCUGUUGUCGCCCUGCCUCUCGCUUCGUUUUCCCGUUCACUCACUCCACUGUCAUCCGUUCCAAUUGAGAAGAUGUAAAUUUCAAUGAAGCUCGCCAUCCGCAGCCUCCCUGUGGCCAGCGCACGUCCCCCUGCCCCCUCCGUCCUCAUUCGGUACGUUGGCGGGCUGGUUGCGCGGUACACGGGGACACACAGGCCUAGUAACACUUUGUUGGCGUAGAAAAGACGUCUUCGACCGCCCUUGUGCUGAUUUCUGCCAUUCUCUCUCUCCCCACCCUUUGUUUUCUUCUCCUCCUCCGGUAACGUUUCUCUAUCUCAGUCUCUCUCUCUCUCUCUGCCUGUCUCGUUCUCCCCUUCAGUACACCGUGCGAGAUGAACGAUGUCAUUUAUAGGCUACUCUGUUGAAUGUCGUUUGAAUAGGCGUUUUUGUGUGUGGUGGGAUUUUUUUUGCUCUCUCUCCCCGCCGUCGAGUUGUUCCCUUCUUAUUCCUCACGUGAAACAAAUGUCGCCUAACCUCAUCCGGCGAACCGGCCGCCCCACAGUAGUGCGAUGCGGUGCUAUGGCGAUGAAACGGCAAGCGGACGAAGAUGUGCAACGGAACGCGGCGCAUUCGACUUGCGUAGUUGCGUCAACGUAAUCAUGAAUGAAUCGAGCCAUACUACCGUCGAGCGACACGAUCAACAACUCCCUGCCAGCCCAGCGCUCGACAAUCGCUCCAACGUUGCAAAUGGCCCACUGGAACGGGCGCGCGCGUUUGGAUGUGUGUGUGUGUGUGUGUGUGCUUGCACGAUGUACUGCGUGCGUGCGUGUGUGUGUGUGGAAAAUUGGAUGGCACACACUGGGUGGGGGAUGAUGCUCAUCGCAUUACCACUCGGCGCGGUCUCGAUUACUCGGGUUCUCGGGUCUUCCGGCUGAUGUAUUUUACUUUACGUGUGUUGUUGUUUUUUUUUGCCACGUUUCCGACGUUCGUUCGGAUUCGUUGGGGUUUGGUGAGAUUGUGCGCACGCACGCGGCCGCUCUGGGCUGCGGGCACUAGCGCGCACACCUACACGCGCGUCGCAACAAAGGAGGCGACACAUACGCACCCAUCAGCUUACGCGAGUACGUCCCACGCAGUCGGGCCAGUGCCUACGCCCUGGGCUCUGCUCCAUUCGCCACCUACGCGCGCCAUUCACGCCUUCCAGCCUUCCUUCCAUCGCCCCACCGAUCCACCCCGCCGCUACUAGGAGACCCACACCAGCAACACACCACACAGAGUGUGCCAACGCGGGCCCGGGAGAAAUAUGGACAUGGAAAAGAAACCCCUUUUUUCCGGGACCCCGAGACCGCAGCAAGCCGGGCGAGAGUUGCGACGCGCGAACGGAAAUGCGAACCAGCAUCGGACGGGCGGCAACGAUAGACGGAAACGGCUAGCAAGAGAACGCAAGAGCGCAAACGGCGGAACACAACAGCCAGCUCCGAAACCGAAAAGAAAGCAAGCGACAAAAUUUCGAAAGCGUACACCAAUGUGUAUGGAUUCUUCUUCUCCUCCCCUCGCGUCCCAUUUUUGUGUGCCCCCCUUGAAGCCGGUGGAGCCGCCCCGUCGCCCAUGAGCUUCGAUGGAGUGGAUUGAUAAGUAUGUGGGGUGGAAUGGAAGAUUACACCAUUCUAGUUUUCUACAGUCUAAAAUCGGUGUAGAUAAAACAUACUAGUUUUUAAAGCUCAUCUUAGGAAUGCUGGUAGCAUUUUUAAUUUCUUUUAAGAACUAUUAGACCCUCUGAUAGAUAGUUCGUGCCCGUGGAGAUGAACAUCAUUUUCGUCAAGCGAUAUUUCAACAGUACUGUAAAAAUGAGUGGUUUGUUUACUUUAUUUCGGAGGUGGAACUGUAAGUUCACCUUACAAAAACCUCCUUGGGCUAACGAAGGUCUAAUCUUCUUCGUCUUUUUUGGUUCUACAACCUCAGGGCGCUUUGUCUACCAUUGGUGACUUACUUGACUUAGUUUACCCGUAGUUGGACAUUUGUUCCUACAUGGGGGGAGGCGUUCGGGACGGGAUUCGAUACUCGUUCCUUAUUCUUGUUGGCCUAACGACCUUCAUAGCAGUGCGGACCAUACAGUGGCUAACUAGAUUGAUAGCAAGUAUUUGUAUAGCCAGUCCUCACUACGGUGGAACGGUGCGGAUGUUAUUUGAACCCUUUAUCAUGCCAUGUAAAGACAUUGCAGACGGAUAGCUCGUUUAUGAAAAUUUAUUAGCGCCUUUUUGGAAGCAUACUUUCGUUGGAAUGGAUUAACGUGUAAUUAAACUUGGAUAAAAUUUUACAUUGGCUAUUUUUUCCAUCUGGCUUAGGAAACACUGGAGAAAUUAAAUAAACUGCUCGAUUUGAAAGAAGAUUUGAAAUAACGCACAGAAACGAAGCAUCAAGGAUGAGCUGUAAAACCUUUUAGUACACUUAAUGAUGCCUUCAUCCAGUGCCUUAAAUUUUCGAACGGGAAUCACUCUGCUCUCGCCUUUAACUUAAAAUGGAUGGCUUUUUGGCUAUGGUUAGGUAGCGUUUUUAACAUGAUCUAUCGGUUAUGAAUAUUUGUACGUGUCGUUGUGUACGAAAUAAAUGUGUUUAAUCAUUA